GUGGGGAAUAUUGGACAAUGGGCGCAAGCCUGAUCCAGCCACGCCGCGUGAGUGAUGAAGGCCUUCGGGUCGUAAAGCUCUGUGGGGAGGGACGAACCGCCGGUGGUUAAUACCCAUCGGCAUGACGGUACCUCCUUAGCAAGCACCGGCUAACUUCGUGCCAGCAGCCGCGGUAAUACGAAGGGUGCAAACGUUGCUCGGAAUCAUUGGGCGUAAAGCGCACGUAGGCGGCUUUGCAAGUCUGACGUGAAAUCCCUCAGCUCAACUGAGGAAGUGCAUCGGAAACUGCAAGGCUUGAGUACUGAAGAGGAUCGCGGAAUUCCCGGUGUAGAGGUGAAAUUCGUAGAUAUCGGGAGGAACACCAGUGGCGAAGGCGGCGAUCUGGGCAGAUACUGACGCUGAGGUGCGAAAGCGUGGGGAGCAAACAGGAUUAGAUACCCUUGUAGUCC
This 449-nucleotide ribosomal RNA is filed under the name uncultured bacterium. RNAcentral describes it as "bacterial SSU rRNA". It matches the Rfam family "Bacterial small subunit ribosomal RNA", at positions 354 to 796 of the family's 1533-position model. The record is from RNAcentral.